Molecule: ribosomal RNA, 559 nt
Filed under: uncultured bacterium
Lineage: Bacteria
Description: bacterial SSU rRNA
Rfam family: Bacterial small subunit ribosomal RNA
Source: RNAcentral
ACGGUCGCGUAACACGUAAGCAACCUGCCCUAAAGUGGGGGAUAGCCCUCCGAAAGGAGGAUUAAUACCGCAUGUGAACCCUUGAUUGCAUGAUCGAGUGUUUAAAGCAGCAAUGCGCUUUAGGAUGGGCUUGCGGCCUAUCAGCUAGUUGGUGGGGUAACGGCCUACCAAGGCGACGACGGGUAGCUGGUCUGAGAGGAUGGUCAGCCGGAUCGGGACUGAGACACGGCCCGGACUCCUACGGGGGGCAGCAAUUAGGAAUCUUGCACAAUGGGCGAAAGCCUGAUGCAGCGACGUCGCGUGACCGAUGAAGUCUUUCGGGAUGUAAAGGUCUUUUCUGAGGGAAGAAGGAUGUGACGGUACCUCAGGAAUAAGCCCCGGCUAACUACGUGCCAGCAGCCGCGGUAAUACGUAGGGGGCGAGCGUUGUCCGAAUUUACUGGGCGUAAAGCGCGCGUAGGCGGAUUUUUAAGUUGGGGGUGAAAUCCCGGGGCUCAACCCCGGAACUGCCUCCAAAACUGGAAGUCUUGAGGUAUGGAGAGGGAAGUGGAAUUCCUGGU